UUUUCUUUUGAAAACUGAUAUAAGGAAGAAAAAAUGAGAGUGAUAGGAUUUUUAGCUGUGGGGGGAAAUUUUGGAUUCAAGAUGGGAGUUUUUUAAAAGCAAGAUGGGAAAAGAGCGCAGCAGGAUUUUUAUGGUUUUCGUUGGAAGAAGAAGAAGGGAGAUUUUCACUGGUUUUUUGAAGGAUUUUGGAAAGGAAGAUAGCUGGAAGCCAAGCGAUUGCAGUCAAAAUUGUCCAGGUAUGCUUCUUGCUACUCUCUGGAUUCUCGCUUAUAUUCGAUUCCUCAUUUUGGUUGUUUCUGAAAAUUCAAUGUUUUGUUGAUUGGUGUGGAUGGUAAGGACCACAAGUUGUUCUGUUGAGAUUGGUGGUUUGCCUGUUUACUCAGUUUUGGUUUUUAUUCUUUUAAUGCCCUUGAUUUUCAUCUAAAAAUAAUUUGUGUAUGGACCCAUCUAUGAGUUUGUUGCCAAAAAUCAUGCCCUGUUUAUUUCCAAAUCUUAUUUUGAAUUGCUCCCUUGUUCUUAGCCCAUGGAUUAACACUUAAAAUGAGGCUAUUUAUAUUCAUUGAUUAGCAUCCUCUGCUUAUUCCUCCCCCGGUUUUUAUCUAUGUCCUCUGUUCCCCUAUUUGUACUAUCUUCCAGUACUUGUCUAUAUAUUUGGGUGUUAUUUGGGACUGACAGAAGUGCUUAUAUGAAAGAUAAGGUGUGCAGCAAAUGCAACGUGAUCAGUGUAUUUCUGGUGGUUCUAUGUCUCUAUAGAUUUCAUUGCAGCUUGCCUAGUUCUGUAAGGUUCUUUGUUAAUGGAUAAAAGCUCAGAUACUGGAUAGUUGAUUCUGAGGUAUUGCAGCGGGUUGAUGAAGAAGAUUUGAGUUUCUUGAAAUGCUUUUCACAUUGUAUCAAUCAGAGCUUUUUUUAUAGAGGCGCACAUCUUCAAAAGAGGAGCGGGGGAACUUUGGGGAAAUGAGGUUUUCUGAGUAAGAGGCUUGAGUCGCAGGAAAAGAGAUCGGCCGUAGGGGGAGAAAUUCUUGGGGAGAAAGUUCACUACUUCGGGAAGUUGAGAGGAGAGAGGAGAGAGGAGAAAAACAGAGUGGAGAAGCAAACUAGAGGAGAUUCAUUGGUGACUAACUUAAGAAAAGAAACAGAGCUGCUUGAAGUCCAGAUAUUCUUGCUUGAAGGGAGCACUUCCAGUAGAAGUUUGUUGAUGAUUUCAUUUCGAUAUUUGCCUUGAACUUUCCCGUUGUACCACCGGUUUUUGAACCCAUUGAAUCUAGCAUGAAAUGGGUUUUUAUUUAAUGGUUCACUUAUUUGUUUAUCCUUUUUUCAUCAUACUCUAUUUUGGUGGGGUUGUUUUUCUAUAGUUGUGCAUGCUUCAAAUUGCUCUGUUUUGCUUCCCGGGUGCGUCCUCCUAUAUUUAUGAAUAAAUAAGGUACAGAGCUGUGGGCUAGCUGCAAAGGUAAUUUCAGUGGGGGUUGAGAUUCUGGGCCCACAAGAAAAUAGAAUAGUAGAAGAGAAAAAUCCGUAAGAGAGUUGGGAUUGGUAGGAAGAGGCGGAUGGCUCUCUGGGAAGAGACAUCCACAAACCUCUUGGCUGAUGGAAUCAAUCGAAGUCCAGAGCAGUGCAAAUCCUCAUGGGCAUCUUUGGUUCAGAAAUAUCAGGAAAGCUAGAAUGAUGAGAAAAACAAGAAAGAUUGGUCGCCUUUGAACUUUUAAUUGCUUAAAGAUAUUUGACAAUGACCACUGCAAACAACCUGCUGCUGUAAAGGUUGUGAUACUUGAAUGUCAGUGUGACGAUGUGAUUGGGGUGAAAGUGCUGAAAUCAGAGCUCAGGAGAAGAUCAUUGACUGUUGAGUCUGAUAUGGAAUACAAUUGGAAUGCCAACAUUGAGAUCUACUAGAGAAGGAAGAGGAGAAAAAGCUUGGUCUCUCUUUGGAUGACUAUGUCGAGCUCUUGCUUGAUGUCUGUCCUGAAUAUUUUAAUUCCCAUGACAAGGGAUUCUGUGUGGCUUCCCAACUAGGUUGUGAUGACUUGGAUGCAAUGACAACUGAAGACAUGGCUAUCGAGGUUCUCAAAGGGAUACCAAGACUGAUUAGAUUAGAAAAAAGAUGAGGCUGCCGAUGAAUUUAAUGACAAGCUGGCAUCAUUUGGUCACUUACUGUUCUCUUCAUGUGGACUAGGAAUCAGAUAGUCGAGAUAUGAAUGACUUUGAAUGCUGUUGGCCAGAGAGCAGUUUUGAAGCCUGCUCACUAUGCUGGUGUUCAUGCAAUAGCUGAAAGGCACAUACCAGACUUUGAAGGAAAUUGAGAUCGCCGAGAGAAGGAAUGGGAAGCUGAGAACUAAUUGAGAAUAAUGAAGGGAUUUUGGAGGGUUAUGUCAAGUAAAGGGUUACUGAUGCUCUGGACGAAGCAGCAACUAGAGAAUAAUUAAGCCUUAUGAGAGAAGAAAGGCACAUACCAGACUUUGAAGGAAAUUGAGAUCGCUGAGAGAAGGAAUGGGAAGCUGAGAACUAAUUGAGAAUAAUGAAGGGAUUUUGGAGGGUUAUGUCAAGUAAAGGGUUACUGAUGCUCUGGAUGAAGCAGCAACUAGAGAAUAAUUAAGCCUUAUGAGAGAAAGGCUUCCCAUGAUGAGCCUUACUCUCUGAACACUGUCAUCGAUAAUUUUGGUGCACAAACUACUCAUGAAAAGGAAGCUUCCAAUCAAAAAAGCGAAUGAUCAACUUGUAGUAGAGUUUGAAUUAUCUGGUAAUGGUUGGGUUUCAGAAUUGAGAAGCUUUCCAGUUCUGAUCAAUUUCCCUUUGGUAGCCCUACCUGCUAGCAUUUUGAGGCACAGAGUUUCAUAGCUGAGAAGGAAUAGAAAGUUCUAGUCUCACAAGUUUCUAAAAUCAAGUCUGAAAAGGUGCCUGGAGUUGAGAAACUCUAGGGUGAAAUUAAAUUGACUUCCCAUGCUGAAAAAGAGUCCAGUGGAGCUGUUUUUGUACUUGAAAGCUCAGAAUCAGAAGCUUCAACAGCAAGUUCACAAUGCUUCAAGAAAUUAUAUCUAUCACUCAAAGAAGAACCUUCUGCUAUUAAUAUUUUGGGGAAUUCUUUGCUCAUUCUAAUUGUAACUGCAGCUAGCUCCAGCUUUCAUAUUUGUAAAGCAACAAAAAUCUCCCACCCCAAGACUCUCAUGAUAAUUCCUUACCUGUCAACCUUGGAGGAUACCUUUUCUGCCAUAACUGUCAUGACUGAAAUUAUUAAUAAAGGCCCUACUCGUCCUGUUGCUUUACAUGAACUGGGUCACCUUCAUGCCUUUUAUCUUCAGUAGUGGCUGGAAUACUUCCUUCUUCAAAGGCCCUUGCAUAUGUUCUUAAUGGUCUCAGUGCCGUUUGUCCCAAAGGCUUAAAGCAAGUGGAAAAUGCUUCAGCAUUGUGAUCCCUUGUGGACAACGAAUGAGAUUUUUGCUCCCUUGGCUAAUGUUGUAGAAAAGCUUUUGCGGUAUUUUCAUUAAGGAGUACUAGUGUCGACAUAACUAUUGAAAUUGUUGAUAGAACUGCUUUAACAUGGGAUGAUAACGUGGGGGUCAUCAGGAAGAUUUAAUGAGACUGCUACAAUGAAAAUGGCUUCUGAAGACAGAAAUGACGGCCAUCAAUAAAUUCAGUUGCCAUAGAUAUCAGUGAUGAAUGAUUCGUCCAAUUUUGCAUCUUUCAUGCGUCGGUUCUGGUUCACAGAAUAUUGAAAAUUCCUGAACUUGCUGAUUAUUUAUGGAGGAGUCAGGAACUGAAGCCUACUGAAGCUGCUGCCUUGGCCUAAUUUUGCCCAAAUUCUGGAAUAAUAAUGUCUAUUGCUCUACACGAUACCCUGGUCUACAAAAGGUUUUCCUCAGUAUCACCCAGCCCCACUGGCCAUUAGUACUUUGUAGAACUGGACAGACUCCACUUACAACCAAUUUGUGGCAGCAGCAGAGUCAGGGGAAGGGAGAUAUUGGCUAGUUUCCAGGACUGUUAGCUCGACAUACUUUGGUAAAUUUCAAAAUUCUUGAGUGGCUCAGAGCAUUUCAGAAUUUCUACAAAUAAAGGAAGCAAGCCAUAUUGCAGGCUGAAACUUCAGGACCGCAUGAUUAGAUUCUGGAGACAUUCGAAAGGCAAUAGAAUUUCGCUUCAGCAAUAUGACCGGAUUCUCAUUAUUUCAUUUUGGUGAAUUGGUCAUGCGAGUGUGAAUUUGUCCACUCAGUUUUGACUACAUUUGCAGCUGCCGGUAAACUGUUUUUGCAGCUACCAGUAAACUGCUUUUACAGUUAACAAGGCUUGUGCUUCACUUGUGGUGCCUGCGAAUACCAUAGAAAAUUGUCCAAUUGACAGACACGGUUUUCCAAAGCAUGCUUCUCGCUUCAAAAUGGCACCAUGUGCCACAACCUAGUAAUGAACAGUCUGUCGCGUCAUCAGUAAUGUUUGAAAAGCCUGCAUCAGAGUCAAGACAUCCACCGUACAGAUUACUAGACGACAAAUACAUAUUGAGGAACUAAAUGCAAACAGAAACAACCCAUCUUGAAGAAAUGGCUUCCUAGGAUGGAGAGCCUUUUGCAUAUGCACUCGAGUUCCCCAGCUGCUUCAAAUUACUUUCAGAUUUGACUUCAAAAUCUUCUAAAUUUCAAUUCUGCUGAUGAUCGCAUCGAGUUCAUAAAAAUGACAGUACACACCAAGUGAAAUUAGCACCAGACUGGUUUCCCAUCAUCCUUGAAGAGACUCUUAUGUUUCACCUAACUGAAGAGGAGUUCACUUACAACUACAUUAACAUUGUGACUAGGCCAAAGAUGCAGUCUGGAAAUGCAGUCUUUAGACACUGAAAAUGUUGACCUUGCUGUGAAGUUUCUGUAAAAAGACGUCAGACUUACUGGGCAGACUGUAUUUCUGGUGGAACCCUACAGGUGGUUAAUUUAUUUGAAACUGUGAAGGUUUUGAGAAUAUCUGAGGCAGUGAACAGAAAAUUAUCAGUAGAGCGGUUUCAGGAGCAUAUUACAAAGAACCAUAAUAGGGAUAUCAUGGAGGGCGCAAGGGUUGUACUUCUUGAUGCGAGCUUUAAAUAACCAGAGAAGUGGGAAUGCACGCAUUUUCGCAUUACGAUGGACUUAACAGCAGGCCAGUUGUUGAGUAUGACCAGAAACACUGUGAUUAUGUCUAAUAUGGGUGCCUCCCUCCAAAACGUCUCAUUUUCAGACCAGGCUUUAACGAAUAGCAUUGCUUGUCCAGAAGCUCAGUACAAAAGCAUGUCCUUAAGUGAAAGACUCCUGUUGGAAAUUCAGAACACUAGAAUCUCUCCAGAAUUGGUGCUUAACGAAGCAUAGAUGGAGGAUGAAGAAAUUGGUGAAGACAUUAUUGGAUUGAAAGAAAAGCAUUUCUGAUGGGCUUUCCGAGAAGAAACAGAUGGGCAGAAUACUGAAGAUAUUGGGCAGAAAUUUAAGGUCAUUCAGGUUUGAUGGUGAAAUAGAGUUGGACAGAACCACAAAGUUUAUGCUAAUUCAGUUACUCCUACUUCCAACAACUUCCUAGCUAAUACUGCAAAAUUCAUCCAGUUCUGCUUCAACUGAUCAGAUGAACUUUGCCUACACCGCAAGAUAAAACGAGUAGUUUCUUUUCUGCACUGUUAGUCAAACUCGACUAGCAGUGAAACAGAAACCAUUCAUUGCAGGUUCAGUCACAUUAUAGAUCAAAAGUAAAAAAUGUGAAAUCUGCUUAGUUCAUGGCAACAGCAAGGGUAUGUAUUCUAGUGGAGCUGCUGAAUCAAGUCUUGAUGGUGAGAAAAUAACACAGAAUGCAGGAAAUAUAACAAUGCAGAAAAGUAGGGAUUUUCAGCCUUAUGUUCAGUUUUUGACCAAGGUUGGGGAGAAUCCAUUUGAGCUUAUGGGUCAAGUUACCUUAUAAAUGGAAAUGCUUCUGACCGUUGAAUACUUCGGCAAUGAAUUGGGUUCUUCUAUCCAGAAUUCCCGGGCUCCACUCCAUCAUGGCCACCUUGCUGCACACCUCCUCCUCUGUUUGCUUCUUUGAUUGGGAAUUUACUGUUUUAAAUUGAAUUUUCAAAUCAUUUUUCAACUAAACAUUUCCAGCUUUGAAAAAUCCAUCUUUAGAUCCCUUCUAGACACUAAAAUCCAGAUUUUAAUAAAUUUGUUCUAUUUUUUCCCUUUUAUUCCUAGAAGCUCAAGGAGCAUACAUUUACUGUACCUAUUCUAUUGUUAAUUUGUGGUUCCAGUAGUGGGAUGGAUUUGAAUAAAUUCUUAUUUAUACACAUUAUUUCUCUUGUUUAAAUAUAGAUAUGGAAGAACUCCUCUUGAUGAAGGCCGAGCAUGUGGGAGCAAGCAUUUAAUCAAAAUUUUGGAGUAGGCUAAAGAGGCUGCUUGCAAGGCACAUGGUUUUUGAAACGUAAAAUAAGGCUUUUCUUCACCAUGCUGUUAUGGAUAACUAAUCAGUAAGAAGUUACUUCAGUUUUCG
This 6450-nucleotide long non-coding RNA is filed under the name Vitis vinifera (wine grape). RNAcentral's name for it is "long non-coding RNA (VVIN_LNC006305)". The record is from RNAcentral. Lineage: Eukaryota; Viridiplantae; Streptophyta; Magnoliopsida; Vitales; Vitaceae.